AUCUAGCUGAUGAACCCCAAAUAGGAAGAAACGCGAGUCCUGGAU
Schistosoma haematobium is the source of this 45-nucleotide non-coding RNA. The record is from Rfam. Lineage: Eukaryota; Metazoa; Platyhelminthes; Trematoda; Strigeidida; Schistosomatidae.